CCUGUAGUCCCAGCUACUCGGGAAGCUGAGGCAGGAGAAUCGCUUGAACCCAGGAUGCAGAGGUUGCAGUGAGCUGAUGUUGCGCCACUGCAGUGCAGCCUGCCAACAGAGUAAGACCCGUCUCAACAACAACAACAAAAAAGAAGAAAAUUUUUAGGAGACAAUGGUUUUCUAAGAGACUUCAGAACCAUUCCCUGGAGUGAAUUAUUUCCAAUGGUGAAGAGUAAUGGAUGGAUGGCAUGAGAUUCUCAAAAAAAUCUUGCUCCUAUUUCAGAAGUGUCACUCCAGCCCCUUGAAGGUCCAGGAAACCUGGCUGAGUAGUGUGGUCUAUGGAGGUGCAUGGGCUUCAGAAUCAGGCCAACGUUGAUCCUGAGUCCCAGCCAGCUGCUUAGUAGCUGUGGGAUAGUUAUACAAGACACAUCUGCAAGAAAAGUCAUGAUAAAAUUGAUUGCAAAAACAGCAAUUUGAAAAUUUUCUUAUUGUAUUCAUGUCCUUGGAAAUGGCUUUUAUAGUCAUUCCUAUCAAGAGACAGAUUCUGUUUCCCAAACCUUGGACCUCUCUUGACUUAUCUGCACUGGCACAGGGUGCCAGUUUGGGGCCCAGGUUUAAAGGUCCUAAAUGCUUCUGUUAUCUUUUUCAGAAUUCUUCCAUCUCUAUGACAACAAGCCCAUUUUAGCUUUCUGGAGAAUAGCAUCUGAGAAAAGCCAAAGUGCCUCAAUUUACAGACAGCUCACUCACAGAAGCAGAGCCACCUAAUUCACCAGCAUCUAACCACUCACACCUGAAGGAGCCAAACUGAGCCCAGAAGAAUGGC
This 814-nucleotide small RNA is filed under the name Pan troglodytes (chimpanzee). RNAcentral's name for it is "processed transcript". The record is from RNAcentral. Lineage: Eukaryota; Metazoa; Chordata; Mammalia; Primates; Hominidae.